Molecule: ribosomal RNA, 165 nt
Filed under: uncultured anaerobic bacterium
Lineage: Bacteria
Description: partial 16S ribosomal RNA
Rfam family: Bacterial small subunit ribosomal RNA
Source: RNAcentral
UGUGGGUAUAUAUAUGCAGCAAUGGGCGGAAACGCCUGAUGCAGCAACGCCGCGUGAGCGAUGAAGGCCUUCGGGUUGUAAAGCUCUGUCUUCUGGGACGAUGAUGGCCGGACCACGAGAAGAAGGCCCCGGUUACUUCCUGGCAGCAGCCGCCGUCUAAUACAA